CGAACGGGUGAGUAAUAUAUCGGAACGUGCCCAGUAGUGGGGGAUAACUGCUCGAAAGAGCAGCUAAUACCGCAUACGACCUGAGGGUGAAAGGGGGGGAUCGCAAGACCUCUCGCUAUUGGAGCGGCCGAUAUCAGAUUAGCUAGUUGGUGGGGUAAAGGCCUACCAAGGCAACGAUCUGUAGUUGGUCCGAGAGGACGACCAGCCACACUGGGACUGAGACACGGCCCAG
Molecule: ribosomal RNA, 232 nt
Filed under: uncultured bacterium
Lineage: Bacteria
Description: partial 16S ribosomal RNA
Rfam family: Bacterial small subunit ribosomal RNA
Source: RNAcentral